RNAcentral lists this transfer RNA (77 nucleotides) under Hyphomicrobiales bacterium. RNAcentral describes it as "tRNA-Pro". It matches the Rfam family "tRNA". From Rfam's summary of the family: Transfer RNA (tRNA) molecules are approximately 80 nucleotides in length. Their secondary structure includes four short double-helical elements and three loops (D, anti-codon, and T loops). Further hydrogen bonds mediate the characteristic L-shaped molecular structure. tRNAs have two regions of fundamental functional importance: the anti-codon, which is responsible for specific mRNA codon recognition, and the 3' end, to which the tRNAs corresponding amino acid is attached (by aminoacyl-tRNA synthetases). tRNAs cope with the degeneracy of the genetic code in two manners: having more than one tRNA (with a specific anti-codon) for a particular amino acid; and 'wobble' base-pairing, i.e. permitting non-standard base-pairing at the 3rd anti-codon position. The record is from RNAcentral. RNAcentral also lists the same sequence under 2 other names. Lineage: Bacteria; Pseudomonadati; Pseudomonadota; Alphaproteobacteria; Hyphomicrobiales.
CGGGGUGUAGCGCAGUCUGGUAGCGCACCUGCCUUGGGCGCAGGGGGUCGUGAGUUCGAAUCUCGCCACCCCGACCA